RNAcentral lists this ribosomal RNA (317 nucleotides) under uncultured bacterium. RNAcentral describes it as "bacterial SSU rRNA". It matches the Rfam family "Bacterial small subunit ribosomal RNA", at positions 28 to 334 of the family's 1533-position model. The record is from RNAcentral.
GACGAACGCUGGCGGCAUGCCUAACACAUGCAAGUCGAACGGAGAUUAUUUCGGUAAUCUUAGUGGCGAACGGGUGAGUAACGCGUAGGCAACCUGCCCUUUAGUUGGGGACAACAUCCCGAAAGGGGUGCUAAUACCGAAUGUGAUCACAUUUCCGCACGGAAUUGUGAUGAAAGAUGGCCUCUAUUUAUAAGCUAUCGCUAAAGGAUGGGCCUGCGUCUGAUUAGCUAGUUGGUGGGGUAACGGCCCACCAAGGCGACGAUGGGUAGCCGGACUGAGAGGUUGACCGGCCACAUUGGGACUGAGAUACGGCCCAG